Molecule: ribosomal RNA, 480 nt
Filed under: uncultured bacterium
Lineage: Bacteria
Description: bacterial SSU rRNA
Rfam family: Bacterial small subunit ribosomal RNA
Source: RNAcentral
AUUGAACGCUGGCGGCAUGCCUUACACAUGCAAGUCGAACGGUAACAGGUCUUCGGAUGCUGACGAGUGGCGAACGGGUGAGUAAUACAUCGGAACGUGCCCGAUCGUGGGGGAUAACGGAGCGAAAGCUUUGCUAAUACCGCAUACGAUCUACGGAUGAAAGCAGGGGACCGCAAGGCCUUGCGCGGACGGAGCGGCCGAUGGCAGAUUAGGUAGUUGGUGGGAUAAAAGCUUACCAAGCCGACGAUCUGUAGCUGGUCUGAGAGGACGACCAGCCACACUGGGACUGAGACACGGCCCAGACUCCUACGGGAGGCAGCAGUGGGGAAUUUUGGACAAUGGGCGCAAGCCUGAUCCAGCCAUGCCGCGUGCAGGAUGAAGGCCUUCGGUUGUAAACUGCUUUACUAUGCGACUAACUAGAUUUACGAGUAUAAUUCUAUAGAAUGUAGCAUAGCAAAAGACACCGGCUAACUCCGUGCC